Molecule: ribosomal RNA, 681 nt
Rfam family: 5.8S ribosomal RNA (bases 265-418)
AUUGAGAGAAAGUAUAUGAAAGCCACAUCAAAGAGAGUUGUUUCUGAUGGCCUGCGCUUAAGUGCGCGGCUGCUAGGAAUUUAUUUUCUGUGGGUCAACUUUUGUUGCUUUUCAUCUCUUUUCAACUUCUACACACUGUGGAGUUUUUUACUUUACAUUUCUUCUUUGGGAGAGCUUGCUUUCCCAGAGGUGACAAACACAAACAAUUUUUUAUGUUUUUAACAACUAGUCAAACCAAUUUCGUUAUGAAAUACAAAUAUUCAAAACUUUCAACAACGGAUCUCUUGGUUCUCGCAUCGAUGAAGAACGCAGCGAAAUGCGAUACGUAAUGUGAAUUGCAGAAUUCCGUGAAUCAUCGAAUCUUUGAACGCACAUUGCGCCCCUUGGUAUUCCAGGGGGCAUGCCUGUUUGAGCGUCAUUUCCUUCUCAAACAUUCGUGUUUGGUUGUGAGUGAUACUCUUUUCUGGGUUAACUUGAAAUUGCAAGCCUGUUUGGCUGUGUGUGCUGGCUUGGAUAGAGUGAUUUGUCCAGUCUGCUAAUACAAUGUCGUAUUAGGUUUUACCAACUCGACAACCUGUGUUAGUGGGUGUUACAAAGACAAGUAUACUUGCUUCUUGCUGCUGCUCAGUCCGGCGAACAAUACUCUCAAAGUUUGACCUCAAAUCAGGUAGGAUUACCCGC